This is an RNA transcript of Drosophila yakuba, 7632 nucleotides long. RefSeq lists it as uncharacterized. NCBI's taxonomy places the organism in Eukaryota, Metazoa, Arthropoda, Insecta, Diptera, Drosophilidae. The transcript is spliced from 2 exons. The record is from RefSeq and is a predicted model, not a curated record.
CCUAAAUGAAGAAGGGAAUCCACCCACUCUCUUUUGAAAAAGGGAGUAUUCUUCCAUUAGGGACCGCUGGCCACAUUCUUUCUUUUUUUGCUUACUCACUUACUUACUUUCAUUUCUACAAGUCACGAAGACACAAAAUUUGGAGCAACCUGUUUUAUAUUUGUACAUAUAUACAUCAAAGUGAAUAAAGACUACCCUUUGGAGAACCAGAAAUCCUCGCCUCUGCGUUUCAAUUGGAAUCAAAACGAUCCGGUUUCUCAACCGCCGCAACCCCCAGCAGAGCCAUUUCUACAUUUUUUGGUCCUUCGAGCCGGAUUCUUCGAGGGAUAGUCCACAGCUAAGUACUGCAUGCCAUUUUGUCCAAUUGUAAGCCUUUUGCCGACCGCCAUAUCGCUUUGUCAAUUUUCCCUUUGGCCGGCAGAAGUUUUUACAUCGCUCCCUGCAUGUAUGUACAUAUGUGUGAUAGUUCUAUUUCUACAUUUGGUUCCAAAACUCCAAGUUUCAUCAAUUUCCUACAUUCUUUUAUUCUUGGCAAGUGAUCGUUUUUGCAUAAACAAAUAUUAAUUUGUGCAAUUAAUAAACAUUAAUAAACAUAAACAUACAUAACAUACAACACAUACACAUUUACAUAUUCCUACAUUUACUUCGGCCACAGUAACAGUGUCUUCACACUGCGUUACAUUUCUACAAUUCGCAUUUCUGGUGGACGGUACUUAAUUUAUUUUGUUCAACUGAUCGUUUUUGCAUAAACAAAUAUUAAUUUGUGCAAUUAAUAAACAUUAAUAAACAUAAACAUACAUAACAUACAACACAUACACAUUUACAUAUUCCUACAUUUACUUCGGCCACAGUAACAGUGUCUUCACACUGCGUUACACUUCUACAUUUCUGGUGGACGGUACUUAAUUUAUUUUGUUCAACUGAUCGUUUUUUUUUUCUGCAUAAACAAAUAUUAUUUUACUGCUACAUUCUAAAUUUUUUCGGACGGUACUCAAAUCACCGUAUUGUUUCGGUUUUCCGUCAGUGCACAUCAGUACCAUCCCGUAUUUCCGACAUUCCACGUUUCUGGUGGACGGUACUUCUACAUUCUGGAUUUUUUUUUUCUCAAUUCAAUUUUGGGAUUUAUUUGGUUUUCAUAUCCAAACUUGCUUCAGCUUCCUUUUUCUGGUAAUAAUUUUGCGCUUAUUCUCAAACCACUAUAAUGAUGUCUGAAGCAGGCCAGAAGCGGGAUCCUAGCCCAAGGGACGCGGCGGCUGGACCCGCUGGGAAUUUGAGAUCAAAAACUAGAACCUCCUUAGACGCUGCGGUGCUUGAUUUUAUAGCCACCAGCGACCGACUUAGCAAAUUUGAAAGCCGGAUUUGUGCGGCAUCCUCGUCCUCUGCCGAGCCUAAUUCUUUUACACUAAAGAUCCGCCUAGACCAAAUCCAGUCCCUCUGGGACAAGGUUGAGCGGGAAUACGAAGCAGUCUCCCGUCUAGCCCUUCACGAAGGAGGUGGCGAAAGCGUUCGGCAGCUUCAGAGCAAAUAUGAGAAUUGCUACUUGGUUUAUGAGAGGUGUGCUUCCCAAUUAAACGAACAUAUUGCCCGUCUGUCCGCCCCCAGUUCUCAGGGGAGUUCAAAUCCGUCCGUUGAGACGUUCUCGAAGGGUUGCAGGCUUCCGCCAUGUGACACGGAAAUCUUCACUGGAGAUUAUCUGCGGUGGCCCACCUUCCGGGACCUAUUCACAGCGAUCUACAUCGAUAAUUCCAGGCUGACUCCAGUGGAAAAAUUAUUCCACUUAAACGCCAAGACCAGCGGCGAAGCUCACGCUAUUGUUAGCAAGUCCCCCCUUACAAAUUCUGGGUUCCAAUCCGCAUGGUCUGCACUUCAAGAGCGUUUUGAAAACAAGCGACUCUUAGUAAAUAGCCAGUUGAAGGUUCUGUUCAAUCUCCCGAAGAUAAGCACCGAAUCAGGAACGGCCUUGAAGGAUCUUCAGAGCACGAUUCAAGGGUGUUUGAUUGCCAUGGAACACUCCAAUGUCUCCACAGAAAAUUGGGAUUGCAUUCUGAUUUUCUUCUGCUCUUCCAAGUUGCCAACAGUCACUCUCUCAUUAUGGGAACAGUCGUUGAACAACAAGUCCGAAAUUCCUACCUGGGACGAGAUGAAUUCGUUUCUCGAAGAUAGAUAUCGCACGCUAGAAGCGAUUGAAGAGGUUCGACUUCAUACUUCCAACUCACAACAUACUAGGGAGCCCAGGAACCCACAGCCGAGAAGGGUAAACUCCUUUGAAACGCAAGUCGGCCCACGUGUACGCUCCUGUGAUCUCUGCUCCAGAGAGUCACAUCCAGUUCGGCAGUGUCCUCGUUUCCUCCAGAUGACUCAACCACAAAGAGUAUCAUACAUCAAGCAGAAGCGAUUAUGCCUUAAUUGCUUCGCCCAAGGACACAAUCUUCGAGAGUGCACAAGUAGACACAAUUGUUUUACGUGCAAGGGCCGCCACAACACGCUGCUUCAUAAGGAAAGUCCUGCUACUUCCACCAGCGCAGCGCAGGCUCAUAAUCCAGAUCAGCCCACUGCGAACACUUCUGUUCAUUUCGCCUCCAAUCGGCAGGGCAUCCUUUUAGGAACGGCCAUUGUCCAAGUCUGUCACCAGGGUGAAAACUUUCCCGCACGGGCUUUGAUAGACUCAGGCUCAGAGGGCACCUUCAUCUCCGAGAAGCUUGCGACCAGAAUCAAGCUUCCUAGUCAGACCGUGAGAACUAGAAUCACGGGGCUGAACCAAACCAGCACAGGUGUCUCACAAAGGAUGUGUCACUUCCAGAUGGGCACGGCGGCGAAGCCGAUGCUCAAGAUAGACACGACUGCGUUGGUGUUGCCCAAUCUGGCCGGGAAUCUGCCGACGAGUUCGAUCGAUCGCAGCAUUCUCGGAAGACUUCCCAAUAUUCCGUUGGCUGAUCCACUCUUUUUCCAGCCCUCCCAGAUCGACCUUCUAAUAGGGGCGGAUAUUCUUCCGUCUGUCCUCCUCUUAGGCUUGAAGCCAAACUAAUGUGGGUCACUGCUAGGGCAAGAGACCAUUUUUGGGUGGAUUUUAACCGGGCCAGUUUCUACAGCCACUAGUAGGGUUUCGUCCUUCACAACAAAGAUAUCCAUAGAAUCGGAACCUACCAUGGAGACACUUCUCACAAAAUUUUGGGAGGUGGAGGAUCUUCCAUGUAAAGUAGUAAAGGAGUCGGACAACUUGUGCGAAGAAAACUUCGCUCGAACGACUAUCAGGUCUCGGGACGGGAAAUAUGUAGUAUCCCUACCCUUCAAGGAUGCUGAGCACAUCAACUUGGGGCAUUCCAGAUCAUUCGCUCUCGCACAAUUCCUAAGGAAUGAGACUCGCCUGAAAAGGGAUCCUAUUCUCAAAGAUACCUAUGACUCAGUGAUCAAAGAGUACAUAGAUCUUGGCCACAUGAAGCCUGUGCCUCCGAAUACGGACACGGUGAAUUUUUAUCUUCCCCACCACGCGGUUUUCAAGCCCGAAAGUACUACCACAAAGGUCCGUGUGGUAUUCAACGCAUCCAGUCCCUCGUCAAAUGGGAACAGCCUGAAUGACAUCCUGCAUCCAGGGCCAGUACUUCAGUCCGAUCUCACCCUCCAGAUCCUAAAGUGGCGAACAUUCCAAUUUGUCUUUAAUGCCGAUAUCACCAAGAUGUAUAGGCAGAUUCCCCUAAACCCUGCACACACCGCUUUUCAGAGAAUUCUCUUUCGAGAUGAUCGUGGGGACAUCAGGGACUAUGAGCUUCAGACUGUCACGUUUGAAGUUAAUUGUGCCCCGUUUCUAGCUUUACGAACGUUGCGGCAGCUGUCCGAGGAUGUCCACGCCAUAUAUCCACGGGCGUCUCGAAUAAUUUCAGAUUAUAUGUAUGUGGACAAUGUGCUUGCAGGAGCCCACACGAAGGUCGAGGCUACUUUAGCCAUUCAAGAGUUGAGGACAGCUCUGAGCUCCGCAGGAUUUCCUCUCCGCAAGUGGACAGCAAAUGAGCGAACUCUCCUAAAGGCACUUCCUUCAGACCACCUGCUCUCAGGUGACUUCCUCGACAUCUAAGAGGUGAGCACCACGAAAACGUUGGGAAUACGGUGGAACGCCAAGGCGGAUGAGUUCUAUUUUGUCCCGACUGAGCUUGUUGUCAAUGCGAAUUAUUCCAAGCGCAACGUCCUAUCGCAAAUCGCAAAACUGUUCGAUCCCGCUGGAUGGUUGUCCCCAUUUGUAGUCCAGGCCAAGAUCCUAAUGCAGGAUAUAUGGUUAGCCGGCAUUGGAUGGGACGAGUUUCUCCCUGCAGAGCUACGGCAACGCUGGCAUGAUUUCCUUCGCAGCCAUAGUUCCCUCCACAAGGUUCGCGUCCCGCGUUGGGUACAAUUCCGACCGGGAGCACAAGUUCAGAUCCACGGCUUCUGUGAUGCAUCUCAGAAGGCCUAUGGGGCAGCGAUUUAUGUUCGCAUCCAAUACGACGGAGGCAUUUCAUCAAGUCUGCUCACGUCAAAGACUAAAGUCGCCCCUGUCAAAACCGUUUCACUCCCGCGCUUAGAAUUGUGUGGUGCAGUUCUUCUUGCUGACCUGUGGGCGGCAGUUCUUCCUCACAUCCCGUUUGGUCGAAUAGAGACGUUUUUCUGGACUGAUUCCACCAUUGUGUUGGCAUGGUUGAACAAGCCACCAUGUCAAUGGACCACCUUCGUAGCGAAUCGAGUGACUAAGAUUGCUCUAAAUACAGAUGCCAGUCAAUGGUCACAUGUGCGUUCCGAGCACAAUCCAGCAGAUCUAGCCAGUCGUGGUGUCACGGCUGAAGAGCUGGCAAGUAGUGACCUCUGGUGGCAUGGCCCGUCGUGGCUGAGUCAGCCGCAAGUCGCCUGGCCCACGUCGCACGAAGAGGUAUCGGACCCUGAACUCGAAAGACGAUCCGUCCGGUGCCAUUUAGCGUGUCCAGCAUGGGAUCUCCUAGAGCGUUUUUCAAACUUCAAUCGCAUGCUGCGAGUCAUGGCUUUUGUGCAGCGGUUCAUCAACCGCUGCAGAUGCAUUCCUACGCCUUCUUCUACAGACUUAAGCAGUAAAGAACUCGCCCAUAUACAACUCAUGCUUAUUAGGCAGACUCAACGGGCCGACUAUCCAGAGGAAUACAACAUCCUGCAAUCCAAAGGACAGCUUCCCUCGUCCAGUUGUAUCCUCAACCUUAAUCCGUUCCUGGAUGCUGACGGCAUCAUGAGGUCAUGCGGUCGUUUGACUGCAUCUGACUCGUUAUCCUACGACGAACGUCAUCCUAUCCUUUUGGCGUACCAUUCCAAACUAGCAGAGCUUCUGGUCACAUUUACUCACCGUAUCUCCAUACACGGGGGAAACCAGCUUAUGGUUCGUCUCAUCCGGACGAGAUACUGGAUUCCGAAGCUGCGGAACCUGAUCAAACGUGUGACCACGACCUGCAAGGUGUGUUAUUCACCGGAAGAAGGUGCAGUCCCAGCUAAUGGGUAAACUACCUCAGUCCAGAGCGACCUAUUCGCGACCUUUUACACACACAGGACUCGACUUCGCGGGACCGUUUGAUGUCAAGAGCUAUUCAGGUCGGGCCUGUCGAAUCACGAAGGGCUAUGUCUGCGUCUUCGUGUGCUUCAGUACGAAGGCCAUCCAUUUGGAAGCCACUUCGGACUUGACCACGGAGAAAUUCCUCGGAGCCUUCUCAAGGUUCGCGGCCAGAAGAGGGUGCCCUCUCCAUCUUUACUCGGACAACGGAAAGACUUUUGUGGGCGCGGAGAAGGCCCUCACAGAAGAUUUCAUCGCUGCGGUUAAGGAAAAGGUUACCUCGUCAUUUAGUCACCAGAGCCUAUCCUGGCAUUUCAACCCUCCAGGCGCCCCCCAUAUGGGAGGCCUGUGGGAAGCAGGAGUCAAGAGCUUCAAGACUCACUUCUACAAGACGACAGACCAAUUUCAGCGAUGUCAGAAGAUCCGUCGGAUAUCCUCGCUCUCACUCCGGGACAUUUUCUGAUAGGCGGACCGCUACUUGUCCCCGCCGAACCUCCCACCGCCGGCGAAGCCAGUUCUAUCCUGAACCGAUGGCAGCGACUCAAAGCCCUUGGCCAGCUUUUCGCAUCGAGAUGGAAGGCUGAAUACCUGAAAGAGUUCCAUAAGAGGACCAAGUGGCAAAUUCCAACCAGGAAUAUGUCCGAAGGCGACAUGGUAAUUAUCAAGGAAGACCACGUUCCAUCGUAUGGGUGGCGUUUAGGGCGUGUUCAAAGGGUUUAUCCUGGCUCUGAUGACAAAGUUCGCGUCGUAGAUGUCCGCACGGCCCGUGGUAUCCUCAAACGGCCAAUUUCCAAAUUAGUUUUCCUUCCCGUAGACAAACAUGUCCAAUGUCUCUGCGUUCGAUGUCCAUAACUGUGAGAGUAAAGCGUAUCCACUAAUCAUUAUUUUUUUUUUUUUUUUCUUUCCGUUCUAUCCUCCAGUCGUUCUUCUCUCUCUCUCUCAUCUCUUUGCGCCAGCCAUGCCGUCCCAUCGCAACCAACGUCGCCAGCUCAUCGACAGAUGUUCUCGAGGAACUCGAUCGUUCCGAUGCCGAGUCUGUCAGGGGAUUCAUCCGCUUCGGACGUGUUCGCGGUUUCUCCGGCUAGAUGCCGAGCGGCGGCUCCGUGCGGUUCUCAUCAACAAAUAUUGCCCGAAUUGCUUGGCGCACCAGCAUUCCGGAGACUCGUGCCGAAGUGAGUGUCGCUGCCGAGUAUGUGGGGACGCUCAUCACACCCUGCUGCAUCUCCAUCGGCGGGAAAAGCGAGAGCGGUCUGCCAGCGCGGACAGGCCCAUCGAGACGCCAGAGCCGAAGGCCAGCAUCGAGCAACCCCGCCUCUCGGCAGUGCUCUCCCACACUACAACGGCUAUCCUGCCCACCGUCAAUCUGCGGUUCGACAUCGGGGACAAACGCUUCGAUGUGCGGGCUAUGGUAGAUGCGUGCUCUACUUUGAGCCGCAUUGACGGAUCACUAGCCGAGGCCAUGGCCCUCCCUAUCCUGGGAGUCGGUGAUGAGAGGGUGUGCAGAGCCACUCUCAUACCGAUGCAUACAGAGACGCCACGGAUUGAGGUGGUGUUCCACGUCGAGGAGCAGCUGCGAAUGCGGACUCCUGCCCGAGAGCUGCCUGACGCUGCCAAAACAGUGUUCACCAACCUCAUCCUGUCGGACCCCAGUUUCCACAGGCCGGCUGGUACCUCCGUCGUGCUAGGUGCGGAUGUGUUUCCCACGAUUAUCCAACCGGGUGUCAUGCACAGCCAGAACGGGCACAUCGUAGCACAGAGCACUGUUUUAGGAUGGAUGCUCUCCGGAACAUACGGCCACUGACGCAUCACAGAUUCUUUUGCAAUCUGUGGCAUUGCAAGGCGGGCGGGAUGUUUACUCCAGCUCCCGUGUGCCAGUUCCACGCGUCCCUAAAUGGAGAAGGGAAUCCACCCACUCUCUUUUGAAAAAGGGAGUAUUCUUCCAUUAGGGACCGCUGGCCACAUUCUUUCUUUUUUUGCUUACUCACUUACUUACUUUCAUUUCUACAAGUCACGAAGACACAAAAUUUGGAGCAACCUGUUUUAUAUUUGUACAUAUAUACAUCAAAGUGAAUAAAGACUACCCUUUGGAGAACCAGAAA